Molecule: ribosomal RNA, 576 nt
Filed under: uncultured bacterium
Lineage: Bacteria
Description: partial 16S ribosomal RNA
Rfam family: Bacterial small subunit ribosomal RNA
Source: RNAcentral
UGGGGAAUAUUGCACAAUGGGCGCAAGCCUGAUGCAGCCAUGCCGCGUGUGUGAAGAAGGCCUUCGGGUUGUAAAGCACUUUCAGCGAGGAGGAAGGUGGUGAGCUUAAUACGCUCAUCGAUUGACGUUACUCGCAGAAGAAGCACCGGCUAACUCCGUGCCAGCAGCCGCGGUAAUACGGAGGGUGCAAGCGUUAAUCGGAAUUACUGGGCGUAAAGCGCACGCAGGCGGUUUGUUAAGUCAGAUGUGAAAUCCCCGGGCUCAACCUGGGAACUGCAUUUGAAACUGGCAAGCUAGAGUCUCGUAGAGGGGGGUAGAAUUCCAGGUGUAGCGGUGAAAUGCGUAGAGAUCUGGAGGAAUACCGGUGGCGAAGGCGGCCCCCUGGACGAAGACUGACGCUCAGGUGCGAAAGCGUGGGGCAGCAAACAGGAUUAGAUACCCUGGUAGUCCACGCUGUAAAACGAUGUCGAUUUUGGAGGUUGUGCCCUUGAGGCGUGGCUUCCGGAGCUAACGCGUUAAAUCGACCGCCUGGGGAGUACGGCCGCAAGGUUAAAACUCAAAGGAAUUGACGGGGUC